GUCGUUAUUUACACAUAAAGCCAUGGCGGUAGAUGAGAGUGCCAAUGGAAUGAGGUCAGAAAGCCAAGACAUGGGCAGUCCACUGUCAAGUCCCCAGGAAGAACUGGCAAAACAGACUGAGGAGAAGCCACCAGGGAAAAUGGAUGGAACUAGAAAACAUCAUCCUGAGUGAGGUAACUCAGACUCAGAAGGACCAACGUGGCAAAAACCGAAGUUCAAGUGAGUACCAGGCAUGUCUGAGAGAGAUAAAAGCUUGUUUCUGAUCAUCAGUUUCAAGUUGGAAAAACACUUUCCCGAGAGGCAGAAAAACUUUACAGAACAAAAUGGAAGAAGCCAUCACUCUGGGCAUUUUCUGGCUUCAAUAUUAACACACCUGCUAGGUGUACUAGGUGUAAAGGAACGGGCUGCUGCUCACCACAAUGAUGGGAACAUUCAUUGAAAAAGAGAGCUUUUGAAUGGGAUAAUAUCAACUAAUUAUAUCCUGGAAAAUGCCUGUCAACUCACACAAGAACAAUUCAAAGAAACACUUAGAAAACUAGACCGAGGCAAACAGCAAAAUACUAUUCACGUCAGUGAGAACUUCAGACGACACUCUUCAAACUGAAUAACAGCUCGGCGUUGCUAAAACUCCUUCCAGUGGAGGGUGAUGUCACAAUUUUAUCUGGCACUACCUGAAUAGCAUAAUUUGUUGUAUUACCUUUUCCCUACAAAGCUCCGUUUUCAGACCUCUCAGCUUUCAAGAGUGCAAUGAAGACCACCUUUUCUCUUGGUUUUCGCUUACUACCCUUAACUCAUUGGUUCACCCCGCUAUUCUCUGUACAGAUGGAGGCAGAUGAGCACCUCUGGGUGAAUAAACAAGUUUCUGCUCUG
Molecule: non-coding RNA, 870 nt
Organism: Peromyscus maniculatus bairdii (prairie deer mouse)
Lineage: Eukaryota; Metazoa; Chordata; Mammalia; Rodentia; Cricetidae
Source: RefSeq, a predicted model, not a curated record